GAUGAAGAACGCAGCGAAAUGCGAUAAGUAAUGUGAAUUGCAGAAUUCAGUGAAUCAUCGAAUCUUUGAACGCACAUUGCGCCCUCUGGUAUUCCGGGGGGCAUGCCUGUUCGAGCGUCAUUAUAACCACUCAAGCUCUCGCUUGGUAUUGGGGUUCGCGGUUUCGCGGCCCCUAAAAUCAGUGGCGGUGCCUGUCGGCUCUACGCGUAGUAAUACUCCUCGCGAUUGAGACCGGUAGGUCUACUUGCCAGCAACCCCUAAUUUUUUUAAGGUUGACCUCGGAUCAGGUAGGGAUACCCGCUGAACUUAAGCAUAUCAAUAAGCGGAGGA
Molecule: unclassified non-coding RNA, 330 nt
Filed under: soil metagenome
Description: partial contains 5.8S ribosomal RNA, internal transcribed spacer 2, and large subunit ribosomal RNA
Rfam family: 5.8S ribosomal RNA (bases 1-120)
Source: RNAcentral